Long non-coding RNA from Lolium rigidum, 1251 nucleotides. RefSeq lists it as uncharacterized. The record is from RefSeq and is a predicted model, not a curated record. Lineage: Eukaryota; Viridiplantae; Streptophyta; Magnoliopsida; Poales; Poaceae. The transcript is spliced from 4 exons.
UUUUCAGGCCAUACCGAUGAUUUUCUUGCAAGUUGUGCAGUUGUUGUCUCAAGCUUGCUGCCUCCCUUUGCCAGAACUAUUGAAUUUGAAACUACAGUCAAAAUAGUGCCACAUCCAGGUUUGCAAAAAGUAUUGAAAUAGACAUGACAAACAUGGUUGUGCUAUCAGUUGAAAAACCUUCGGCUCAGCUUGACAUACACAAACUGUUCUAAUGAGGAGCGCCACUCCAAGGGUAGCAUCUAUGCAAUACUUAUGGGCACUUCAUUGGAUAAACACAGCAAUUAACUCAUUAUGUGGACUUGCGCAAUAUCCAUGCCAUUCAGCACAGAUUGAUUAAGACGGGUGAUUUCAAAUCAAAGUCUCAUCCAGUUGUGCCUUUCUGCUCUCUGUCGAACGGUUUGUCACCUUCAUCCAAUUAUAACUAGAUUGGAGAAGAUAAAUUGAUGACAAAAGAAAUGACUUGACUGCAGUAGUAAUCUUUCUACAGCUGAAUUGCAGUAUUUUAUUUUGAGGUAAAUAGUCUUUAUUGAGAAUUUCUUCUUUCGUUCGAGAGAAUUCAGGUGACCGGUUAGUGCAAUUCAGGUGAACAGUUCAGAGCUGGUCCUGGAGGGUGCCACCACAAGGUUACUUGUCCGCAUCCAAAGUUAACAUGAGCCGGACCAAAGAAGCCACUACUUAGGCUGAUAUUGUCGGCAAGGUGGGCUGCCUGGUUUCCCGGGUUUGUGGGUGUGAAGCUGCCGGAUGUAGUCGAAGGAGUUGAUGGCGGUGGCUACAGGCAUCGUUUUCUUUGUUGAAGUUUUCGAUGAAGCAGCCCUCAUCUUCUGAUCCGGUCUUACAGAUCGGAUGAUGAUGGCGCUUAGCGAUGCUUGGUGGCAUGUUCCCUCGGAGGGACCCGUUGCUAGUGCGGUGGUGGAGGCAUCAACACUCCACAUGCAGGGAGCCUUAGAUGAGCCAUUUUGGUCUUCUCUCAAAGGUCCUAGGCAUGUCGCCCCUCUCUAGCGCCGUCGAGGCUGACGAAAAUGCUCAUGGCAGAUCACGACGAUGCGAUGUUAUUCGGUGUGUACUUUUUAGCAGUGUGACUUGAUUGUCUGGCUGUGCGUGUAGUGUGUUCUGCCUUACCGGCAUCUUCUUUGUUCUCUGGUGCUUUAGACCUAGUCUAGCUCUGUACCGUUUUCUUCAUAAUCAAUAAAUUUAGCAACCCUCUUGCUAACAUAUAAAAUCACGGUAAUAGAAGUUCUAUGGUUCAACCUA